This 474-nucleotide ribosomal RNA is filed under the name Triticum aestivum (bread wheat). RNAcentral's name for it is "partial small subunit ribosomal RNA". Lineage: Eukaryota; Viridiplantae; Streptophyta; Magnoliopsida; Poales; Poaceae. The record is from RNAcentral.
AUGCUCAUUCUGGGAAAGGAUCCGAAGACAAGAAGAAAUCUUGGGACUGGGAUUGAGCACGACGGCCUCUACUACCUUACCAAUGCCCCGUCUCCAUCUCCAUAUGCCCUCAGUAUGAUGAAUAGCUUGACCAAUGAUGAAUUUCUACUAAUGCAUUAUAGACUAGGGCAUCUGUCAUUCCAAGCCCUUAGUCGCAUGUUUCCAUCUCAAGUUAAAAAUUAUUGUAAGGAGAAGCUUUUGUGUGAUGUGUGUGAACUGGCUAUACACACUAGAACCAAUUAUCCUAGUAGUAAUGAGAGAAAUAAGAUACCGUUUGAUGUGGUGCAUUCGGAUGUAUGGGGUCCAUUGGUUGUAACUGCCCUCACAGGGGAUAGAUAUUAUGUGACCUUCAUUGAUGGUUUUAGUAGGUGCACAUGGCUGUACCUCCUAAAGCAUAAAUCUGAAGUUCUGCCUGCAUUCAAAGAUUUUUUUUAA